AUUGAACGCUGGCGGAAUGCUUUACACAUGCAAGUCGAACGGCAGCACGAGGGCAACCUUGGUGGCGAGUGGCGAACGGGUGAGUAAUACAUCGGAACGUGCCCAGUCGUGGGGGAUAACGUAGCGAAAGCUACGCUAAUACCGCAUACGAUCUAUGGAUGAAAGCGGGGGACCGUAAGGCCUCGCGCGAUUGGAGCGGCCGAUGGCAGAUUAGGUAGUUGGUGGGGUAAAGGCUCACCAAGCCUGCGAUCUGUAGCUGGUCUGAGAGGACGACCAGCCACACUGGAACUGAGACACGGUCCAGACUCCUACGGGAGGCAGCAGUGGGGAAUUUUGGACAAUGGGCGUAAGCCUGAUCCAGCCAUUCCGCGUGCAGGAUGAAGGCCUUCGGUCGUAAC
RNAcentral lists this ribosomal RNA (398 nucleotides) under uncultured bacterium. RNAcentral describes it as "bacterial SSU rRNA". It matches the Rfam family "Bacterial small subunit ribosomal RNA", at positions 30 to 429 of the family's 1533-position model. The record is from RNAcentral.